GCAGGUAUGGCGGAAUUGGCAGACGCGCUAGAUUCAGGUUCUAGUGCCUUCACGGGCAUACAGGUUCAAGUCCUGCUACCUGCACCA
Molecule: transfer RNA, 87 nt
Filed under: Clostridia bacterium
Lineage: Bacteria; Bacillati; Bacillota; Clostridia
Description: tRNA-Leu
Rfam family: tRNA
About the family: Transfer RNA (tRNA) molecules are approximately 80 nucleotides in length. Their secondary structure includes four short double-helical elements and three loops (D, anti-codon, and T loops).
Source: RNAcentral